CAGCUUUGUUGUCAUUUUCUGGCAUUUCCAGGGACCGCUUGCAUGCUGAUAGAGGAGUCUUGUCCAGUUUCUGACGCUUCUGUGAGCUCCCUUCAGUUUUCAUAGCAUCAUCCUUUUUCUUGGCCUUUGGGGGUGGUAACAAGGCACCCAGGAUACCCCAAACACCUUUUUGUCCUGUUGGCUCAUUAACUCACCUGCAAAGUGGAGGGGCUCACUGAUUAGCCGCAUUAUUGCUUUGGUCAAGUCUGUGUCAAAUGUGCUGCACUUAAGUAUUACAUCAUCAAUGAACUGGUCCUUUACAAGCUCCUUCACAGUGUCUGAAAAAAGAAUAGCAUUAAUUAUAUUGCAGUAUGACACAACCUUUAAUUCUCGAUAAAACCUUACCCGAGAGUGAAUCUGAGAAUAAGAGUACAAUUGGUGUCUGCUCAUUAAGCGAUCCAGUUGCUCUGUGUAAAUCAAAACAACAUUAGCUGAUACCUAGACAGACAAGAGAUGCAUACAGGGGCGUGUUUAGAGAAAAAUGCAGGGUGGGGUCCAGUAGUAAUUCACUGACCAUGGAUCAAUUUAGCAAAUCUGCAUCCUUAGCUUUGGAAAUAGGUCACUAGAGAUCCACCUAGAAACUUUUUUUAUCCAAAUGUACACACUUGUCCCUCUGGACACAUGCCUGGCAUAGAUGGAAAGCUAGGUAAAGGAGACUUAUGGGAAAUCUUAGCGGUAUUUGCUUCUUACUUGAUAUGUUUAAAAAAGUCCUUGUCUUCGCAUUGCUCCAAGAUAAUCAAGCCAUAAGCCUUUUUCUCACACAAUUUUUUAGCUGUGCUGGAAUCAGCGCACUCGAUGAUUGACAGUCCAAUGCUCAAGAGACUUUCUACUGCAGACUGGGGAAGACUGCUAUCUUCAGUUUUCACGUAAAGACAAGAUUUACCAGCUUCAUCCUACGAAAAUAAAAACGAUUG
Molecule: long non-coding RNA, 953 nt
Organism: Nematostella vectensis (starlet sea anemone)
Lineage: Eukaryota; Metazoa; Cnidaria; Anthozoa; Actiniaria; Edwardsiidae
Exons: 2
Source: RefSeq, a predicted model, not a curated record